GGAAUAUAAGAACCCGUCUCUUAACUUUAAACUAAAAAAGCUAAGAAGCAGCUCUUAAAACUCUUAUUUAAGAGCCGGUUCUUAGUUUUUUUAGUUAAAAAUUAAGAGACGGGUUCUUAUAUUCC
RNAcentral lists this microRNA precursor (125 nucleotides) under Brassica oleracea var. oleracea. RNAcentral's name for it is "MIR9563 microRNA precursor family". It matches the Rfam family "MIR9563 microRNA precursor family". Lineage: Eukaryota; Viridiplantae; Streptophyta; Magnoliopsida; Brassicales; Brassicaceae. The record is from Rfam by way of RNAcentral.